CGCUUACAGUUGUUUGUUUACCUUUUAUUAAUCAUAUUUAUUGCUCUGUAUAAUAAUUCUAUCAUUAAGUAAAUAUAAUAUAAGGAUAUAUAUGUUAAGAGAUAUACAGUAUUUAGGGAACUAUGAACCUACGUGCCAGUAACUUACAGCUGACUUGGACGCUUUACUCACCAGCUGCUGCUCCUACAGUGAUUAGAGAGUCUCACCUGAAGUAUUUACUAUAAAUUGCAUAAAGUGGAGAACAUAAUGUCAGGUGUAUAGCAUAACGGGAUAGGUGAGAGUUGAUUAUUUUUUACGAUGGUAGGACAGACGCAUUAUAUAUUUUGCUUCUCGUGGUGCCUUAUAAUAUUUUCUCUUGCAGGAUAAUCUACAUUGAGUGACUUAGUUAUAGUUGAAUGUUUUAGAUAAGGAGACGAUAAGUAGACAAGCGACAACGGCAAAUAAAAUUGAAUCGAAAAGGAACGUCAGAAAACGCAGUUCAUGUUUAGUAAUUUGGGGACAAGUAUAAUGAACGCACCUUAAACUGCUGUGUCGCUUGUCUUGGUCUCGCCCGGAGCUCCUCACGUGAUCUUAUAGUGAGUGACCUGUGGGAGUGUUGGGGUGAUACUGUCAACAUAACCCAUGUGCUACCUCUCCACCCUUCUGGGUAUGUCAGGAGAAACCAUGAAGAAAAAAAUUGAUGCAGAAUUUAGCUCACCUGACAACAUUGCCGCUUGUUUGACCUGACACCAUUAGUCUCACGUUACUUAAGACUUUCUCUGGCUGACUUUUAUAAAACAAACGUCAGUUGCUUCUCCGUACUAAGAUAUAACAAAACAAUAAGUCAGCAGUUCAUAUAUUGCUUCCAGUGAAAAAAAAUAUUACUUCACUGUUGUUGGUAGUGUAGUGACCGCUACCAAGUCCACCUGCCUUGUUCACGUGACCGUGUAUUGGGGAGUCAUUAAAUACAGGUUGUGUCACAGUCCAGUACAGUAGACAUAGUGGAGCUGUGAGCCAUUAAACAGGUUGUCUCACAGGCCAGUACAGUAGACAUAGUGGAGCUGUGAGCCAUUAAACACAGGUUGUGUCACAGGCCAGUACAGUAGACAUAGUGGAGCUGUGGAGCCAUUAAACACAGGUU
This is a long non-coding RNA of Homarus americanus (American lobster), 1120 nucleotides long. RefSeq lists it as uncharacterized. The transcript is spliced from 3 exons. NCBI's taxonomy places the organism in Eukaryota, Metazoa, Arthropoda, Malacostraca, Decapoda, Nephropidae. The record is from RefSeq and is a predicted model, not a curated record.